Esox lucius (northern pike) is the source of this 891-nucleotide long non-coding RNA. The record is from Ensembl. NCBI's taxonomy places the organism in Eukaryota, Metazoa, Chordata, Actinopteri, Esociformes, Esocidae.
CUAUAAUAUUUUUGAAUUUUGGAGAUUGGUGCACACAUUCUACCUAAGACUUAACUCAUCAAAGGGACUCAAAAGGCUCGCUUUUUGGAAUGACCUACAUAGCAUAAUCAGUGUCUAUAUUUGUAACUAAUACACCUGAAACGCUUGUGGUAAGACAAAUGCCAGCAGAACAUCCUGCAACCAGCAUACUUCAUAUCUGUGCUGUGGUACAGUAGAAACAAGUGUAAUGGCUCAUGUACAAAGUACAUUGAUGGGGAAAGUGUGACAUAAAGUCAUUUUAUUUUUAAUUAAGUGGAGAUAUUGUGGUUCAGCUUUGUUCUGCCCUGAUUCAUUUAAACAAUUCAUUUUUACAAGUUUGCCCUGUUGUUCAAAAACAUUGCCAGUGUCUUCUCUUUAUGUGAAUCCAGACUGCGGAUGUGCACAUAACCCGCCCCAUAUCGGACUUUAACUUGAUUUAUGAGGAGCCUUCUGAAGAGGAUGUCACCUACACAACAGUGUACAUCAACACCAAGCACAACAGAAACAUGAAGUAGUUGAGAUGGUGUGAAGUGGAACCUCUCACAACUGAGCCUGAGAGUAUGCUGACCACCACUAGAGGGCAGACUGGAACAUGAAUCCCUGACCCUGUGCACAAGUACAAGCCAGGCAAAAAAAAAAACAUACCGUAUCAGAAAUACACACUAAUCAAUGGCCCCACAGUGGAACUUCAAUUCUUACAGAUUAUAUUUUGAGACAUUGUUGCUUUGUGUACAUAAACUUUCCCCCCAAUGUAUUUUACCUAGUCUUAUGCAGUUGGAAAUGCAUUUUACAGUACUUUAAUUUCCAUUAUAUUUACUUCAUAGCUUUAUGUAAGCACUGCGUUGACUGCUGUAAGUAGCAGUGAAAAUAAAA